This is a small nucleolar RNA of Mirounga angustirostris (Northern elephant seal), 148 nucleotides long. Lineage: Eukaryota; Metazoa; Chordata; Mammalia; Carnivora; Phocidae. The record is from RefSeq and is a predicted model, not a curated record.
AUCUCAAAUUAAUUCAAGAUAAGAAUUUUCUGAUUAGAUGAACUCACAAGUGUAGGUAGUGUGCUACACGAGGGGCAAGUCUUUUCGCUAACACCACAAGAGUCUCUGGCCCAAUGAGUGGAGUUUGAUAGUAAUUCUUGCUAUAAGU